UGCCUCAGUAACGGCGAGUGAAGCGGCAACAGCUCAAAUUUGAAAUCUGGCCCCCGGCCCGAGUUGUAAUUUGCAGAGGAUGUUUCUGGCGAGGUGCCUUCCGAGUUCCCUGGAACGGGACGCCAUAGAGGGUGAGAGCCCCGUACGGUUGGUCGCUAAGCCUCUGUGAAACUCCUUCGACGAGUCGAGUAGUUUGGGAAUGCUGCUCUAAAUGGGAGGUAUACGUCUUCUAAAGCUAAAUACCGGCUAGAGACCGAUAGCGCACAAGUAGAGUGAUCGAAAGAUGAAAAGCACUUUGAAAAGAGGGUUAAAUAGUACGUGAAAUUGUUGAAAGGGAAGCGCUUAUGACCAGACUUGGGCCGGUUGAUCAUCCAUCGUUCUCGGUGGUGCACUCUGCCGGCUCAGGCCAGCAUCAGUUUGGCUCGGGGGAUAAAGGCUUUGGGAAUGUGGCUCUCUCCGGGGAGUGUUAUAGCCCACUGCGUAAUACCCUGCGCUGGACUGAGGUACGCGCUCCGCAAGGAUGCUGGCGUAAUGGUCAUCAGCGACCCGUCUUGAAACACGGACCAAGGAGUCGUCUUCGUAUGCGAGUGUUCGGGUGUCAAACCCCUACGCGUAAUGAAAGUGAACGUAGGAGAGAGCUUCGGCGCAUCUCCGACCGAUCCUGAUGUUCUCGGAUGGAUUUGAGUAAGAGCAUACGGGGCCGGACCCGAAAGAANGUGAACUAUGCCUGUAUAGGGUGAAGCCAGAGGAAACUCUGGUGGAGGCUCGCAGCGGUUCUGACGUGCAAAUCGAUCGUCAAAUAUGGGCAUGGGGGGCGAAAGACUAAUCGAA
Molecule: ribosomal RNA, 831 nt
Filed under: Verrucostoma martinicense
Lineage: Eukaryota; Fungi; Ascomycota; Sordariomycetes; Hypocreales; Bionectriaceae
Description: eukaryotic LSU rRNA
Rfam family: Eukaryotic large subunit ribosomal RNA
Source: RNAcentral